RNAcentral lists this ribosomal RNA (253 nucleotides) under uncultured bacterium. RNAcentral describes it as "partial 16S ribosomal RNA". It matches the Rfam family "Bacterial small subunit ribosomal RNA", at positions 524 to 776 of the family's 1533-position model. The record is from RNAcentral.
UACGAAGGGGGCGAGCGUUGUCCGGAUUUACUGGGCGUAAAGAGCGCGCAGGCGGUCGUUCAAGUCGAGUGUGAAAGCCCCCGGCUCAACUGGGGAGGGUCACUCGAUACUGAUCGACUUGAAGGCAGGAGAGGGAAGCGGAAUUCCCGGUGUAGUGGUGAAAUGCGUAGAUAUCGGGAGGAACACCGGUGGCGAAGGCGGCGACCUGGGUCGAGACUGACGCUGAGGCGCGAAAGCGUGGGGAGCAAACAGG